CCAGACUCCUACGGGAGGCAGCAGUGAGGAAUAUUGGUCAAUGGGCGCGAGCCUGAACCAGCCAAGUCGCGUGAGGGAUGACGGUCCUACGGAUUGUAAACCUCUUUUGCCGGGGAGCAAGCGUGCGUUCGUGAACGCGCGUCGAGAGUACCCGGAGAAAAAGCAUCGGCUAACUCCGUGCCAGCAGCCGCGGUAAUACGGAGGAUGCGAGCGUUAUCCGGAUUUAUUGGGUUUAAAGGGUGCGUAGGCGGUCCUGCAAGUCUGGAGUGAAACGCAUGAGCUCAACUCAUGCAUGGCUUUGGAAACUGGAGGACUGGAGAGCAGGAGAGGGCGGUGGAACUCCAUGUGUAGCGGUAGAAUGCGUAGAUAUAUGGAAGAACACCAGUGGCGAAGGCGGCCGCCUGGCCUGUUGCUGACGCUGAGGCACGAAAGCGUGGGGAGCAAAUAGGAUUAGAUACCCUCGUAC
Molecule: ribosomal RNA, 466 nt
Filed under: uncultured bacterium
Lineage: Bacteria
Description: bacterial SSU rRNA
Rfam family: Bacterial small subunit ribosomal RNA
Source: RNAcentral